This 564-nucleotide long non-coding RNA is filed under the name Carica papaya (papaya). RNAcentral's name for it is "long non-coding RNA (CPAP_LNC003060)". The record is from RNAcentral. Lineage: Eukaryota; Viridiplantae; Streptophyta; Magnoliopsida; Brassicales; Caricaceae.
UUCGGCUGUUGGGCCAGGAGUUUGGCUCCGAUUUGGCCACCGGGGAACUCAGCAUUGAAAAACGAGCUGGGGUAUGAAAUUUACCUCGAUCGGCAGUCGAAAAACUCCCCGGUGCGGCGGCGGGUGGCGGCAGCCGGCUCCUUCGACGUCUGGUUCGUCUUUUCUGGCGAGGGCAGGCGGCUAGGGUUUUUGUGGUCAGGUGUGGGGCUUUUAUUUAUACCCUCUUGCCUUUUAAUCACAGCCAUCCAUCUUGAUUAAAUAUGGGCCGUUCGUACUUGAUUAAAUCUGGGCCGUCCAUGCGCGUGCAUCUGGGCCGUCCGUGCGCACGCUUGAUCUGGGCCGUCCGUGCGUGCGGGGACGCAUCUAGGCCGUCCGAUCGCGCGCACGCGGAUCGCCCACGUGGCCCGUUCCCGGAUCGACGUGGUCUUGCCACGCGGCAGGUCCUGGUUGGCCAGGGCUGCUGACUGGGCCGUUGACGUGGCUGCUGACGUGACGCUAACGGGGCAUAAUUUUUCUAAAUUGCUUUUUGACCCCUGAUUUCCGAUUUUCUUUUCAAAAAUACCC